UAACGACUCUCGGCAACGGAUAUCUCGGCUCUCGCAUCGAUGAAGAACGUAGCGAAAUGCGAUACUUGGUGUGAAUUGCAGAAUCCCGUGAACCAUCGAGUCUUUGAACGCAAGUUGCGCCCGACGCCUUCUGGCCGAGGGCACGCCUGCCUGGGCGUCACGC
This 163-nucleotide ribosomal RNA is filed under the name Rhinotropis nudata. RNAcentral describes it as "5.8S ribosomal RNA". It matches the Rfam family "5.8S ribosomal RNA". From Rfam's summary of the family: 5.8S ribosomal RNA (5.8S rRNA) is a component of the large subunit of the eukaryotic ribosome. It is transcribed by RNA polymerase I as part of the 45S precursor that also contains 18S and 28S rRNA. The record is from RNAcentral. Lineage: Eukaryota; Viridiplantae; Streptophyta; Magnoliopsida; Fabales; Polygalaceae.